This 2881-nucleotide ribosomal RNA is filed under the name Microcystis viridis FACHB-1342. Its description in RNAcentral is "23S ribosomal RNA". It matches the Rfam family "Bacterial large subunit ribosomal RNA". The record is from RNAcentral. Lineage: Bacteria; Bacillati; Cyanobacteriota; Cyanophyceae; Chroococcales; Microcystaceae.
AGGUCAAGCUAAUAAGGGCUAACGGUGGAUACCUAGGCACACGGAAGCGAAGAAGGACGUAGUUACCGACGAAACGCUUCGGGGAGCGGGAAGCAAGCAUUGAUCCGAAGAUAUCCGAAUGGGGCAACCCUAAACACGACCACCUGAAUACAUAGGGUGGAGCGAGCAAACCUGGUGAACUGAAACAUCUUAGUAGCCAGAGGAAAAGAAAGCAACAGCGAUUCCCCCAGUAGCGGCGAGCGAAAAGGGAACAGCCUAAACCAAGUUCUUCGGAACUUGGGGUCGUGGGACAGUAACAAAAGACUGGGAAAUUUAGACGAAGCGGCUGAAAACCGCACCAGAGAAGGUGAAAGUCCUGUAGUCGAAAAAGGAACCAGCUUAACUGCAUCCCGAGUAGCAUGGGGCACGUGAAAUCCCGUGUGAAUCUGCCUCGACCACGAGGUAAGGCUAAAUAUUCCCGUGUGACCGAUAGAGAAACAGUACCGCGAGGGAAAGGUGAAAAGAACCCCGGAAGGGGAGUGAAAUAGAACAUGAAACCGUUAGCCUACAAGCAAUGGGAGGACGAUUGAACGUCUGACCGUGUGCCUGUUGAAGAAUGAGCCGGCGACUUACAGGUUAUGGCAGGUGAAGGGGGAAGACCCCACAGCCCCAGCGAAAGCGAGUCUGAAUAGGGCGAAACGUCAUAAUUUGUAGACCCGAACCCGGGUGAUCUAACCAUGGCCAGGAUGAAGCUUGGGUAAAACCAAGUGGAGGUCCGAACCGACUAAUGUUGAAAAAUUAGCGGAUGAGCUGUGGUUAGGGGUGAAAUGCCAAUCGAACUCGGAGCUAGCUGGUUCUCCCCGAAAUGUGUUGAGGCGCAGCGGUAGUGGAAGUUUAGUCGGGGUAAAGCACUGUUUCGCCGCGGGCUGGGAGACCGGUACCAAGGCGAGGCAAACUCUGAAUACGGCUAAAAAAACUACCAGUGAGACGGUGGGGGAUAAGCUUCAUCGUCAAGAGGGAAACAGCCCAGACCACCAGCUAAGGUCCCCAAAUGAUAACUAAGUGAGAAAGGAGGUGGGAGUGCAUUGACAACCAGGAGGUUUGCCUAGAAGCAGCAAUCCUUAAAAGAGUGCGUAAUAGCUCACUGGUCAAGCGCUCCUGCGCCGAAAAUGAACGGGGCUAAGUUAUCUACCGAAGCUGUGGACUACAUUGUAGUGGUAGGGGAGCGUUCUAUAGGGGGUGAAGCAGUAGCGGCAAGCAGCUGUGGACUCUAUAGAAGUGAGAAUGUCGGCUUAAGUAGCGAAAAUGUGGGUGAGAAUCCCACACCCCGAAACCCCAAGGUUUCCUCCGCAAGGCUCGUCCGCGGAGGGUCAGUCAGGACCUAAGGCGAGGCUGAAAAGCGUAGUCGAUGGACAACGGGUUAACAUUCCCGUACCGAUUAAUGAUUGUGCCGGAGAACGGAGAAGGUCAACGUCAGCUGGAUGUUGGUUACCAGUGCAAGCAGUCGAGGCGAUGAGAGGUGGUGAAAACACCAGGAGCUAAGACGCGAGUCCCACCUCCCACGGGAGGGAAGUGGCGCUGAUCAAGCUUCCUAGAAAAGCCCGAACCACGUUAAUCAUUAAUUGCCUGUACCCGAAACCGACACAGGUGGGGAAGUAGAGAAUACUAAGGGGCGCGAGAUAACUCUCUCUAAGGAACUCGGCAAAAUGACCCCGUAACUUCGGGAGAAGGGGUACCCUCGCAAGAGGGUCGCAGUGAAUAGGCCCAGGCGACUGUUUACCAAAAACACAGGUCUCCGCCAAGUCGUAAGACGCAGUAUGGAGGCUGACGCCUGCCCAGUGCCGGAAGGUUAAGGAAGUUGGUCAGGAGUAAUCUGAAGCUGACGACCGAAGCCCCGGUGAACGGCGGCCGUAACUAUAACGGUCCUAAGGUAGCGAAAUUCCUUGUCGGGUAAGUUCCGACCCGCACGAAAGGCGUAACGAUCUGGGCACUGUCUCGGAGAGAGACUCGGCGAAAUAGGAUUGUCUGUGAAGAUACGGACUACCUGCACCUGGACAGAAAGACCCUAUGAAGCUUUACUGUAGCCUGGAAUUGGCUUCGGGCUUCGCUUGCGCAGGAUAGGUGGGAAGCUUUGAAACUCUCCUCGUGGGGAGGGUGGAGCUAACGGUGAGAUACCACUCUGGCGAGGCUAGAAUUCUAACCCUGACCCCUAAUCGGGGCGGGAGACAGUUUCAGGUGGGCAGUUUGACUGGGGCGGUCGCCUCCUAAAAGGUAACGGAGGCGCGCAAAGGUUCCCUCGGUCCCGUUGGAAAUGGGACGAUAGAGUGCAAAAGCAGAAGGGAGCUUGACUGUGAGACCCACAAGUCGAACAGGGACGAAAGUCGGCUUUAGUGAUCCGACGGCACCGCGUGGAAGGGCCGUCGCUCAACGGAUAAAAGUUACUCUAGGGAUAACAGGCUGAUCUCCCCCAAGAGUUCACAUCGACGGGGAGGUUUGGCACCUCGAUGUCGGCUCAUCGCAACCUGGGGCUGAAGUCGGUCCCAAGGGUUGGGCUGUUCGCCCAUUAAAGCGGUACGUGAGCUGGGUUCAGAACGUCGUGAGACAGUUCGGUCCAUAUCCGGUGUAGGCGUAAGAGCAUUGCGAGGAGCCUUCCUUAGUACGAGAGGACCGGGAAGGACGCACCGCUGGUGUACCUGUUAUCGUGCCAACGGUAAACGCAGGGUAGCCAUGUGCGGAGCGGAUAACCGCUGAAAGCAUCUAAGUGGGAAGCCCACCUCCAGAUGAUUGCUCUCAUGGCAUUAAGCCAGUAAGGUCUCGGGUAGACUACCCGUUGAUAGGCUCUAGAUGGAAGCUCGGUAACGAGUGCAGUCGAGGAGUACUAACCGACCGAGGGCUUGACCUG